Molecule: ribosomal RNA, 163 nt
Filed under: uncultured bacterium
Lineage: Bacteria
Description: partial 16S ribosomal RNA
Rfam family: Bacterial small subunit ribosomal RNA
Source: RNAcentral
UAGGGAAUCUUCCACAAUGGGCGCAAGCCUGAUGGAGCAACGCCGCGUGAGUGAAGAAGGGUUUCGGCUCGUAAAGACUCUGUUGUUGGAGAAGAACGUGCGUGAGAGUAACUGUUCACGCAGUGACGGUAUCCAACCAGAAAGUCACGGCUAACUACGUGCC